Long non-coding RNA from Sciurus carolinensis (gray squirrel), 5012 nucleotides. RefSeq lists it as uncharacterized. The record is from RefSeq and is a predicted model, not a curated record. Lineage: Eukaryota; Metazoa; Chordata; Mammalia; Rodentia; Sciuridae. The transcript has 3 exons.
ACAAAAGAGAUUCCCCCGAGGGCUCAGGUAAGUCACACAACAAACCCAAGAACAAGUGGAACUGGCCGUCCCUGAGUUACUGGGUAACCUUAAAUCAAGGACUGAGACUCUCUGUGUCUCAAAGUUAUGCCACACCCUUAAUCUUUUCCCAGUGGGCAGUGUGUAGUGGGUGACCCUACAAGGUAAGGCAAAAAGGAGUGGCUCCAUUAAGGGCAGGGACAACGGCUUGAUGGAUGUUGGUGGCCUGGCUCUCCCAGAUUCUGCUACCUAGCUGCGUACAACCUGCCUCUGAACACCUUCCAGGGAAUGACCCCUCCCACACAGUGGGCACUCCUGGCAGAACCGUCACUCAGAAUGUCCUGUCCUCCCCGCCUGCUGAAUGAACUCAAGACCCAACAUAGGCCUGGAGAAUUGGAAUCCUGUGAAGAGGGACAAGAAGUGGGAAACAAAAUGAUUGGCACCAAUUGAUCCUAGCAGCUGUGAGACAAGAUCAUGAGCUUCUGCUCUCCAGUUCACUGCAAAGUCUGCCUCUGUCUUUCCCUGGCCUGGACCUGUGUCUGCCCCCUCAUCCUGUGAACCACCCUCAAGUCCUUCAGAUAAAAUCCUUGAUGCUGAAGUUAAGUAGAAUUAAUACUGAGGCUCACCUCAGAUGCAAUGGCCUCUGGUGUGUAUUGUGUGCUUUGGAGAAGAAGAGAGAAGGGACAGGCCUAGGGAAGGUCUGAGUCACCAUCCUUAUGGGAAGCCCUCAAGGGACAGAGUAGAGGGCAGGGGUCAUAUGUAAGAGUUGGGUUAAGGUUCCAGGAAACUUCCCCUUUAGGUGAGAACUUGUGUUGGGAUCCAUCAGGAGGGAAGGGGACUUAUGUACUACAGGGAGAGUUGAAGAGUCAUGACAAUCGCAGGUGUCUGUGGGUCUCUUUUGUUCUGCUAAUGCUGGUGGCUGGGGGAUGGCCUCUGCAGCUGCAAUGAGGCCACACAGGCAGUCAUCUCAUUUUCCACCGCUGAGAGAGGCACUGAGCACCUCGCCGCUCUGUGGCCGGAGCAGGCUGGACUCCAGUGCCCCUGCUUGUUUGGAUCCUCCCCCUCAGCCCUGGGAGAUGCUUGUGUCCAGGCAGCCCAAGGUGAGAGGCACGGUGUCAGGCCUCCCCAAGUCCUUUGCCUGUCACAGAUCCUCAGAUCUCAAGAAAUAAGGCACCUGGAAGUUUCCUCUCCCAUGCAGGAACCACUGGAGGCCAUUCUAAGGCAACAUGUGAACUGGUGGGUGGCACACUGAGUUCCAGGGUGCUGAGGGAUCCUGAAUGGGGCUGGGGGUUCUCUGUGGAGGUUCAGGAAGGGCUUGGUUUAUAGGCCAGAAGCAAUAACUAUAAGCAUGUGAGGCAAACAGCCCUGACCUGGAGACCAGCAGACAUCAGUGGGAGAAAGAGGAUGACAGCAGGUGAUGCUGUGGAGAUGACCAUGACCACUGGAGCUCCUGCCCUCGGUGCUCUCCUGACCUUCCAAACCCCCCCCCCCAAACCCCCACAAAGCCGGUCUUGCUAGGUCACCUGCCCCCUGCAAGCAGGUGGGAAUGUGUACGUAGCUCAAGGGUGGCAUCAUGAGGCCACAAUUGGGUAGUGCACUCCAAAUCCCCCAUUAUAUGUAAGGUCACUGGCAAGUGUAGUCUGCCUGUGCUUUCUGGAUGCCCAGGAUCUUUCCUAGCAGAGUGGGAGUUUCUGUGCAGAGCAGUUUCUGUCCUGAAGGGCUCAGGGCCCUAUUGCUGGUGGAGAAGAGAAGGGAGGGGGAGGGGCGAUGGGUUUGAUAGGGUGCUGCAGGGGAGUUGGCCCUUGGUGAGGAUGUCUGCAGCUCUCUGCUCUCCUGGAUCCGGUCACCUUUCAAAGUGGGUUUCUGGGGCCACAUUCUGGGCAUCUGACUACUCUCAGCCUCUCACGUGAGCAUCUUGCAGCUGUUUCCUCCAGUGGGCAUUCUUCCAUAAAGGUUCCUGUUUCCAGUGUUCAUGGAAAGACCCUGGAGCCAAAUCUCAGAUCCUCCCUAUAUUAUCUGUGUGACCUCUGUGUGCUUCAGUGUCCUCGUUUAUAAUAAUGCCUGCUAUACAGGGUUUGAGUCCUAGUCAGGACAAUGAAUGGUCCCUACCAUAGAAAAGAGAGCCCCCAACUCUGUGUCUAGCAGGUGUCAUCUCUGGGGAAGGAAUCUGCUUGGCCCCCUGUACAUGGCUGUGUGUGUGUGUGUGUGUGUGUGUGAGUGAGAGAGAGAGAGAGAGAGAGAGAGAGAGAGAGAGAGACAGACUUUCGGCAAUAAAUUGUUUGAUUGAAACCAGCCGCUGCUGCUUUCCCCUUAUCUCACCUACCUGAACAAGUAGGAGGUGUGCUAAGAGCCACACGGAUGUGCCUAGGACUGAGGAGAAGGUGGCCACUAGUCCUCAGGGAACAGCGGAGAGCCCACCUAAGCAGGAGAGACUUGAAGAAGACAGAGGGAACUGUUCACCACGCCUCUCCCCUGAGCCUGGGAAUAUGAGGUGGCGGCAGCGGCACCUGGGCAAGACAUCUGCUCUCCCAGGAGACCAAGAGCUGGGAUCUGAUCCAGGCUGGGCCAUGCUGGUGGAGUGGCCUUGCAUCAGUCCUUCUUUGGGCCUCAGUUUCUGCAUCUGUAAAAUGAUUCCCUUCCAUGCUCCCCUCCCACUCCAAACAGGCAGGUAAGGACGGGGGCUCCAGUCACUGCCCUUGAGUAUAGGAGUCAUGGAGGGAUGUGGGGGUGGCUUCCUGGUAUCUGGGGGAGGCAGGCUGAGAUGGAAUGCUGGGCUCUGGAAGGAAGGAGUCCCCUGCCAGCUGUGAAGAGCUAUGACUUGCCCAAGUGCAACUGGAACAGAGAUGCCAAAUGCUCCUGGAGUUACUGAGUGGUAAUCCUAAUGACAUGUGAUCCUGCAUACCAACAGCCCGGGCCAAUGCUCCUUGUGUUCCUCCCACCCGCCCGUCUCUGGGAUGCUCCUCCUUAUCCCUGUAGAGCCUCCAGGGCUUCUUUGUUCUUGCCAGAGGUGGCCUGGCCCAGUGUGGGUCUGGGGAAAGUGACAGUGGGAAAUGAAAAUCAAAGAACCCCUGGCAUGAAGCUGGCAGGGCAACUGUAGGGGAAUGGAUAACUGCAUUUGCUGCCUUCAUUUUUGCCUAAUCUGGCAUUUUUGCCUAAUCCCUUGGCAGUAGCUGACCUCAUAUCAGCAUCUCUGUUCUGGACUCCUCUCUCCACCUCUAUGGCUAUCCUUUCCUUCUCUCUCAUUCUCAUUUCCCAUUUCCUUCCUUUUCCUUCUUUCUGAGGGUCUAGACUUGUUUGGCCAGAGAAUUCUCAGACAUGGCUCCCUGCUUCCAGAGCCUCUGGAGGUUAGUGUGCACCCACCUGUUGCUGUGCCGCUUAGAUCGCUACAGUCACAAGGGACAGAACCUCCAGGCCAGUGCACCAGCUUGGGAUGGAGACUGGGCUUGUUUCAUCUACAGGGUAACCUGGACCAAGCCCCGUGACAUCUCUCUUGCUGUGAGAGCAGGAAAUCUGCUUCUGGACUCCUUUUUCUUUCUAUUCAUUCAUUCUUCGAUUGAACCCAGGGCUGCUCUACCACUGAACUACAUCCUCCAUCCUUUUUUCACUAAUUCUCCAAGCUGGCCUUGAACUUUAAAUCUCCUACUUCAGCCUCUGAGUUGCUGGAAUUACAGACAUGUACCACUGCACCUGGCCCUGGAUUUCUUUUAAGAAAAUGGGAUUUUUAAGGUCAAGUUUGCAGAGUUAUGUACACGAUUCGGGAAUCUCUUCCCAAAUCCCACACUAUUGUGCUCUGCCUUCUAGAGCAGUGGUUUUUGAAGUAUGAAGCACUGUGAGAGAUCUACAGCUCAGCAUUACCUGAAAUCUUACUAGAAACACAAAUCCUCAAGUCUCAGUGCCCAGGGAGGGCUGGAAAUGGCGUACAUUCCCUUGGGAGAACCAAUUGUGCACCCUCCCUCCCCAACUCCGCAUUUAACGACAGUCAUGUUGUGGGGCUUGAAGUCAGUCAUGGUGGUAGUAUUUACACCAUGGAAAUUGGCAAACGCUUUAGAUCAGUGCUUGUUUUUCUUUUCAGAGGGCCCAUUAAACUGCUUUCUGCACACUGCUGGGCCCCAUUCAGAACUACUGAAUCAGAAACUCUGAAGGCGGAGCCCAGCAGCCUAUGUUUUAAUAAGAUUUCCAGGCGAUUCUGAUGCAUAAUCAAGGGUGAGAACUAUGUUCCAGUAGGUCAGCUCUGGUGAGAUCAUGAGAAAAAAGGAACCUAGGGGUUGUCAAUGGAAAGGUGAACCUCCAGCUGCUACAGAGUAGACUGGAUCAGGAUACUUCACCUUGUUCUCAUUUUUCCAUGUAUCCAGGUGAAGGAAACGAUGUCACAAGAUCCAAAGGACAUAGGAUAAUUGGCCGAAAAAAUACCCCUUUGGAUGCACAUUUCUGCUACAAAGAAAAACACAUUAAAAGCAUUGCAUUGGAGAUACAGGGAAUGGAUAUUCUGUUUCUUUCCUGGAAGAAGUGAAAAUGGGAAGUCACAGUACCUUACCCAUUAUUACUCAUGCAAAUGUGUGCAAAAUGCCACUGGGAUUUUCUUUCCCCUUUCCAAUUUUGAAAUACUUAAACAAACAGCAAAAUACAAGGAGAAAUAUGACAAUAAUCUUGUAUUCACCAAAAAGAGAUGGCAAACGCUAACAUUUUGCCACACUUAUGUCAGCUUUUUUAAAGAAAUAAGACUUGAAGAUACAGUUUAAAAUUCCCCUUGUGUCCCCUUUCUUCUCUCCAAAUAUGCAACAACUAUCCUCAAAUUGCUUUCUCUGUCUCACCAUGGGCUGCCCUCUGUCGUGUUAUGAUGCAGCAAGAAGACCCUCACCGGGUGCCAAACAGAACUGUGAGCUAAACAAACCUCUCUUCUUUGUAAAUUACAUAGUCCUGCGUAUAUUAUUAUUAUUAAUUUAUUUCUUUUUACUGGGGAUUAAACCCAGGUGUGCUCUACCACUGAGCUACAU